Molecule: ribosomal RNA, 497 nt
Filed under: uncultured bacterium
Lineage: Bacteria
Description: partial 16S ribosomal RNA
Rfam family: Bacterial small subunit ribosomal RNA
Source: RNAcentral
GAUGAACGCUGGCGGCGUGCCUAAUACAUGCAAGUCGAGCGAACGGACGAGAAGCUUGCUUCUCUGAUGUUAGCGGCGGACGGGUGAGUAACACGUGGAUAACCUACCUAUAAGACUGGGAUAACUUCGGGAAACCGUAGCUAAUACCGGAUAAUAUUUUGAACCGCAUGGUUCAAAAGUGAAAGACGGUCUUGCUGUCACUUAUAGAUGGAUCCGCGCUGCAUUAGCUAGUUGGUAAGGUAACGGCUUACCAAGGCAACGAUGCAUAGCCGACCUGAGAGGGUGAUCGGCCACACUGGAACUGAGACCCGGUCCAGACUCCUACGGGAGGCAGCAGUAGGGAAUCUUCCGCAAUGGGCGAAAGCCUGACGGAGCAACGCCGCGUGAGUGAUGAAGGUCUUCGGAUCGUAAAACUCUGUUAUUAGGGAAGAACAUAUGUGUAAGUAACUGUGCACAUCUUGACGGUACCUAAUCAGAAAGCCACGGCUAACUACGUG